Molecule: long non-coding RNA, 263 nt
Filed under: Pan troglodytes (chimpanzee)
Lineage: Eukaryota; Metazoa; Chordata; Mammalia; Primates; Hominidae
Description: long non-coding RNA NONPTRT017727
Source: RNAcentral
GUGGAGGCGCGUCCCGGGCCCUUUGCGUGUAGUGGGUGGCUCUGCAAUUGUAUUCCUGUUUCAAGCCCCGUUUUCUUGCAGCUCUUCGGCACUGCAAACUUAACCGCUGAUGGCGCUGUGGGUGGAGAAACGUUUGUUAGGCAACAACAGAAUUCUGCGAAACUUGGUUGGUUGGAGGAGCACACCAAAAAUAAAGUACCGGAGCCAGCACGGCUUCAAAAAAAUUAGGAUCAGUACCGCUAGUAGCGAACGCAUAAGAAGGG